Molecule: ribosomal RNA, 480 nt
Filed under: Exiguobacterium profundum
Lineage: Bacteria; Bacillati; Bacillota; Bacilli; Caryophanales
Description: bacterial SSU rRNA
Rfam family: Bacterial small subunit ribosomal RNA
Source: RNAcentral
UAGGAAGUUGCGGCGUGCCUAUACAUGCAGUCGAGCGCAGGAAGCCGUCUGAACCCUUCGGGGGGACGACGGUGGAAUGAGCGGCGGACGGGUGAGUAACACGUAAAGAACCUGCCCAUAGGUCUGGGAUAACCACGAGAAAUCGGGGCUAAUACCGGAUGUGUCAUCGGACCGCAUGGUCCGCUGAUGAAAGGCGCUCCGGCGUCGCCCAUGGAUGGCUUUGCGGUGCAUUAGCUAGUUGGUGGGGUAACGGCCCACCAAGGCGACGAUGCAUAGCCGACCUGAGAGGGUGAUCGGCCACACUGGGACUGAGACACGGCCCAGACUCCUACGGGAGGCAGCAGUAGGGAAUCUUCCACAAUGGACGAAAGUCUGAUGGAGCAACGCCGCGUGAACGAUGAAGGCUUUCGGGUCGUAAAGUUCUGUUGUAAGGGAAGAACAAGUGCCGCAGGCAAUGGCGGCACCUUGACGGUACCUUGC